This 305-nucleotide ribosomal RNA is filed under the name uncultured bacterium. RNAcentral's name for it is "bacterial SSU rRNA". It matches the Rfam family "Bacterial small subunit ribosomal RNA", at positions 337 to 636 of the family's 1533-position model. The record is from RNAcentral.
UCCUACGGGGGGCAGCAGUAGGGAAUUUUCGUCAAUGGGCGCAAGCCUGAACGAGCAAUGCCGCGUGAACGAGGAAGGUCUUCGGAUCGUAAGUUCUGUUGACGGGGAAAAAGAGCGGAGAGAGGAAAUGGUCUCCGAUUGAUAUUACCCUUCGAGGAAGUCACGGCUAACUACGUGCCAGCAGCCGCGGUAAUACGUAGGUGGCGAGCGUUAUCCGGAAUGAUUGGGCGUAAAGGGUGCGUAGGCGGCCUGCUAAGUCUGGAGUGAAAGGUACCGGCUCAACCGGUACAGGCUCUGGAAACUGG